AAGAAGGCAGCCAGGUUCAAUUGAGUGUCUGCUCGUGCACAGAAGGCGCAGCCAAAUAUCACCCAUCAUGAUGAGUGGUACUCUUCAUGAAAACAAUCUUCCAGGAGAUUUCUCUUCGUGAUUUGGUCACUUAUCCAUGACAGUCUUUCAAUGCAAGACCAGUUUCAAUGGAAAAUAAUAGUGUCUCCGAUUUGAAAUAAUUCUAUAGUGAAGAUAGUUAUGACUGUUACCUCUCAGACAUAUAAACAAACAAUAUAAUGGAUAUGUAUAGGAAAAUUUUUCCUUUCCUGGAAGAUUUGUGUUAAAUUAUUUUGUGAACUUUGUGCACCAGAUUCCCUUAAUGGAGAAGUGUAUCUACCACCCCUUCCUAAGGAAGCAUCUCUUUAUAGCAAAUGGAGAGCAUCAUAGAAAAUCACAACUAGACAAUGAAGACAGAGACCAGCAUUUCACAGGGAACUCAGUCCCAAUAGAUACAUCUGCAUUACAGCUUCCAAAGCUAUGGGUCAGGCACCAUCGCCAACUGGAAAGAUUGUAAAGAGUCAGAAUACAAUGAAG
Molecule: long non-coding RNA, 555 nt
Filed under: Cricetulus griseus (Chinese hamster)
Lineage: Eukaryota; Metazoa; Chordata; Mammalia; Rodentia; Cricetidae
Description: lncRNA (ENSCGRG00015036070.1)
Source: RNAcentral